AUGGGUGUACGUCGUGAGGAGGUGGAGGUGGUGGAGUCGUGCAUGGUGCCGCCCAGCGAGCAGACACCUAGCCAUGGCCUCUGGCUCUCCCCACUCGACCUCACAAUGGCCAAUACAGGCCACACCCCAACCGUCUACUUCUACAGCUCCAGCUCCAGCGUCGUCGACGACGUCUUCGACGUGACCCGGCUGAAGGUUGCAUGGGCCAAGGCUCUCGUGGCCUUCCACCCUCUAGCCGGCCGUGUCAGCGUGGACGGCGACGGUCGGGCAGAGAUCGACUGCGCCGGCCAGGGCGCGCUCUUCGUCGUCGCUCGCUCGGACCUCGCCGUCAAGGGCUUCGUCCACUUCAAGCUGUCGCCGGAACUAAGGAGGCUCUUUGUUCCCCGCGUUGAGGACUCGCCGUCCAUCAUAGACGGUGAUAGAGCCGGGGGGCCGGCGCUCGAGCUCCCGUGCCACGACCACACCCUCCUCCGCGUGCGCACACCACCUGUCGUCCGCCCCGACGCUCUCACCGUGUUCUGGCCCAAGCUAAGCCUAUCCGAGCCGUCCGUCCCCGUCGCCAGCGAGAUCUUCGUCUUCUCCGAGGGCCAUGUCGCAGCUCUGAAGCGUGCCUGCAGCGGCGGUGGCAGCGUGAGCACGUUCAGCGCCGUGAGCGCCCACGUGUGGCGGUCCCUAUGCGCCGCGAGCCGGCUGCCGCCGGACGCGACGACGCGCCUCAGCUUCCCGGCCAACGUCCGGCCGGUCCUGAGGCCGCCGCUGCCGGGGCGCUACUUUGGGAACGGGAUCAUCAACAUGGGCACCGCCGGCAAGGUGCGCGACAUCGGAUCGGGGGAGCUGGCAUCCGUUGCCGGUCGGAUCGAAGGCGCCGUCCGCCGGAUGGACGACGAGCUGGUGCGUUCGGUGAUUGAUUACUUGGAGAUGAACGGCGAGCAGCAGCCGGGCCGUGGCAGCCUACCGGAGACCGAGCUUAGGGUGUUCAUCGGAUCCUUCUCUGAUGCUAACCACAACAAGCUCUGGAAGGCGAAGGUGGAGGCCAAGUGCAAAUUCUUCUUCUGGUUACUCCUCAAAGGCAAAAUCCUGACCAAUGACAACCUUGCUAUGCGUGGCCUCCUACAUAACUCGAGGUGCAACCUCUGCGACCAGGUGGACGAAUCUGCGGUGCAUCUGAUCCUGCACUGCCCCUUCGCGCACUCUAUUUGCCCGCUGAUGGAGAAUCUGAAAUGA
RNAcentral lists this ribosomal RNA (1224 nucleotides) under Triticum aestivum (bread wheat). Its description in RNAcentral is "partial small subunit ribosomal RNA". Lineage: Eukaryota; Viridiplantae; Streptophyta; Magnoliopsida; Poales; Poaceae. The record is from RNAcentral.